UGCGAAGGGGGCUUGCGUUGUUCGGAAUUACUGGGCGUAAAGAGUGCGUAGGCGGUGCUCUAAGUCUGGUGUGAAAUCUCCCGGCUCAACUGGGAGGGUGCGCCGGAGACUGGAGUGCUAGAGUGUGGGAGAGGUAAGCGGAAUUCCUGGUGUAGCGGUGAAAUGCGUAGAUAUCAGGAGGAACACCUGUGGUGUAGACAGCUUACUGGACCACGACUGACGCUGAGGCACGAAAGCGUGGGUAGCAAACAGG
Molecule: ribosomal RNA, 253 nt
Filed under: uncultured bacterium
Lineage: Bacteria
Description: partial 16S ribosomal RNA
Rfam family: Bacterial small subunit ribosomal RNA
Source: RNAcentral